CAAUUUUGCAACAUUUCUGCAUCUGUAAAGCUAUAAAAGAGAAGCUCAACAUCCAAAGAGCAACACUACAGACUCUUCUCUUGUCUCUGAGAAAACCUACUGAAGGUAAAAUUACUGCAACCAUGCUGAAGGUAGCACUUAUUCUUGGAUGCCUCCUGAGCCUCAUUGUGGCUGAACCUGUGGAGCACCAGCGUUUUGCUCGUUCAAGCUCUGGUUCUGGCUCACAUGAGAGCACCACGACUACGACCACAGCAGCAGCWGCUACAGGUACAUUAACUCUGGCCCAGAUCCUGGCCCUGCUCCAACAACUACUCAAUCAGUAAUGAUCAAAUUCAAUGGCUGCUGUUUUAACCAGAUGCCUUCUAUUCACUCAACAAUUGGACAAAUGUCAUUCUUCACCAAGUUUUGACUAAAAAUAAACAUUUUCAAUACAGA
Molecule: long non-coding RNA, 435 nt
Organism: Poecilia reticulata (guppy)
Lineage: Eukaryota; Metazoa; Chordata; Actinopteri; Cyprinodontiformes; Poeciliidae
Source: RefSeq, a predicted model, not a curated record